Molecule: transfer RNA, 73 nt
Filed under: Ailuropoda melanoleuca (giant panda)
Lineage: Eukaryota; Metazoa; Chordata; Mammalia; Carnivora; Ursidae
Rfam family: tRNA
About the family: Transfer RNA (tRNA) molecules are approximately 80 nucleotides in length. Their secondary structure includes four short double-helical elements and three loops (D, anti-codon, and T loops). Further hydrogen bonds mediate the characteristic L-shaped molecular structure. tRNAs have two regions of fundamental functional importance: the anti-codon, which is responsible for specific mRNA codon recognition, and the 3' end, to which the tRNAs corresponding amino acid is attached (by aminoacyl-tRNA synthetases). tRNAs cope with the degeneracy of the genetic code in two manners: having more than one tRNA (with a specific anti-codon) for a particular amino acid; and 'wobble' base-pairing, i.e. permitting non-standard base-pairing at the 3rd anti-codon position.
Source: Rfam by way of RNAcentral
GCCUGGCUGGCUUAGUUAGUAGAGCAUGCAACUCUUGAUUUUAGGAUUAUGAGUUCAAGGCCCAUGUUGGGUG